GAUGAACGCUGGCGGCGUGCUUAACACAUGCAAGUCGAACGAUGAAGCCCAGCUUGCUGGGUGUUUUAGUGGCGAACGGGUGAGUAACACGUGAGUAACCUGCCCUUUACUCUUGGGUAAGCCCGAGCGACGGGGACUAAUACUUGAUAGGAAAGACUACCGCCGGGUGGGUGCUGGAGAGAAUUUCGGGCAUGGCUGUACUGUCGGCCUAUCAGCUUGUUGGUGGAGUAAUGGCUCACGAAGGCGAAGACCGGUAGCCGGCCUGAGAGGGUGACCGGCCACACUGGGACUGAGACACGGACCAGACUCGUACGGGAGGCAGCAGUGGGGAAUAUUGCACAAUGGGCGAGAGCCUGAUGCAGCGACGCCGCGUGAGGGAUGACGGCCUUCGGGUUGUAAACCUCUUUUAGUAGGGAAGAAGCGAAAGUGACGGUACCUGCAGAAGAAGCACCGGCUAACUACGUG
RNAcentral lists this ribosomal RNA (465 nucleotides) under uncultured bacterium. RNAcentral describes it as "partial 16S ribosomal RNA". It matches the Rfam family "Bacterial small subunit ribosomal RNA", at positions 28 to 507 of the family's 1533-position model. The record is from RNAcentral.